AGUGAACGCUGGCGGUAGGCCUGACACAUGCAAGUCGAACGGCAGCACAGUAAGAGCUUGCUCUUACGGGUGGCGAGUGGCGGACGGGUGAGGAAUACAUCGGAAUCUACUUUUUCGUGGGGGAUAACGUAGGGAAACUUACGCUAAUACCGCAUACGACCUACGGGUGAAAGCAGGGGAUCUUCGGACCUUGCGCGAUUGUAUGAGCCGAUGUCGGAUUAGCUAGUUGGCGGGGUAAAGGCCCACCAAGGCGACGAUCCGUAGCUGGUCUGAGAGGAUGAUCAGCCACACUGGAACUGAGACACGGUCCAGACUCCUACGGGAGGCAGCAGUGGGGAAUAUUGGACAAUGGGCGCAAGCCUGAUCCAGCCAUACCGCGUGGGUGAAGAAGGCCUUCGGGUUGUAAAGCCCUUUUGUUGGGAAAGAAAAGCAGCAGGUUAAUACCCCGCUGUUCUGACGGUACCCAAAGAAUAAGCACCGGCUAACUUCGUG
Molecule: ribosomal RNA, 492 nt
Filed under: uncultured bacterium
Lineage: Bacteria
Description: partial 16S ribosomal RNA
Rfam family: Bacterial small subunit ribosomal RNA
Source: RNAcentral